Molecule: ribosomal RNA, 443 nt
Filed under: uncultured bacterium
Lineage: Bacteria
Description: SSU rRNA
Rfam family: Bacterial small subunit ribosomal RNA
Source: RNAcentral
AGAGCGAACGCUGGCGGCAGGCUUAACACAUGCAAGUCGAACGCUCCGCAAGGGGAGUGGCAGACGGGUGAGUAACGCGUGGGAACAUACCCCUCGGUUCGGAAUAACUCAGGGAAACUUGAGCUAAUACCGGAUACGGUCGAGAGGCGAAAGAUUUAUCGCCGAGGGAUUGGCCCGCGUCCGAUUAGCUAGUUGGUGAGGUAAUGGCUCACCAAGGCGACGAUCGGUAGCUGGUCUGAGAGGAUGAUCAGCCACAUUGGGACUGAGACACGGCCCAAACUCCUACGGGAGGCAGCAGUGGGGAAUAUUGGACAAUGGGCGAAAGCCUGAUCCAGCCAUGCCGCGUGAGUGAUGAAGGCCUUAGGGUUGUAAAGCUCUUUCGCCAGGGACGAUAAUGACGGUACCUGGAUAAGAAGCCCGGCUAACUUCGUGCCAGCAGCCGC